RNAcentral lists this ribosomal RNA (497 nucleotides) under uncultured bacterium. RNAcentral describes it as "partial 16S ribosomal RNA". It matches the Rfam family "Bacterial small subunit ribosomal RNA", at positions 28 to 507 of the family's 1533-position model. The record is from RNAcentral.
GAUGAACGCUGGCGGCGUGCCUAAUACAUGCAAGUCGAGCGAACAGACGAGGAGCUUGCUCCUCUGACGUUAGCGGCGGACGGGUGAGUAACACGUGGAUAACCUACCUAUAAGACUGGGAUAACUUCGGGAAACCGGAGCUAAUACCGGAUAAUCUAUUGAACCGCAUGGUUCAAUAGUGAAAGACGGUUUUGCUAUCACUUAUAGAUGGAUCCGCGCCGCAUUAGCUAGUUGGUAAGGUAACGGCUUACCAAGGCAACGAUGCGUAGCCGACCUGUGAGGGUGAUCGGCCACACUGGAGCUGAGACACGGUCCUGACGCCUACGGGAGGCAGCAGUAGGGAAUCGGACGCAAUGGGCGAAAGCCUGACGGAGCAACGCCGCGUGAGUGAUGAAGGUCUUCGGAUCGUAAAACUCUGUUAUUAGGGAAGAACAAAUGUGUAAGUAACUAUGCACGUCUUGACGGUACCUAAUCAGAAAGCCACGGCUAACUACGUG